Molecule: non-coding RNA, 289 nt
Organism: Rattus norvegicus (Norway rat)
Lineage: Eukaryota; Metazoa; Chordata; Mammalia; Rodentia; Muridae
Source: RefSeq, a predicted model, not a curated record
UUUAGAACCAUCAUGAGCUUUUCUGGAACUGCAGUUGAGAGCUCCAUGAAUAAUUUCUGAUUGAUUAUAAAAUUAAAAGAAACAAAACCAAGUUCUCAUCAGUCGACACAGCAAAACAGCAGUCGGAUGGACCAAGACAGCUGGGAUCACAAGACGGCUCCCAGACCAUUUGGAUUCAACAGAGUGCUCUAGCACAGAAUUUUGAAAGCCUCGCUCCGCCUCUCUCUGAUUUGGCUGAGCAGUACAGAAACCAGAUUAAACGUGGGUAGUCUGAGUUACCCAGAGAGAA